This 472-nucleotide ribosomal RNA is filed under the name uncultured bacterium. Its description in RNAcentral is "bacterial SSU rRNA". It matches the Rfam family "Bacterial small subunit ribosomal RNA", at positions 1 to 470 of the family's 1533-position model. The record is from RNAcentral.
CGCCCUUGAGUUUGAUCAUGGCUCAGAUUGAACGCUGGCGGCAGGCCUAACACAUGCAAGUCGAGCGGUAGAGAGAAGCUUGCUUCUCUUGAGAGCGGCGGACGGGUGAGUAAUGCCUAGGAAUCUGCCUGGUAGUGGGGGAUAACGUUCGGAAACGGACGCUAAUACCGCAUACGUCCUACGGGAGAAAGCAGGGGACCUUCGGGCCUUGCGCUAUCAGAUGAGCCUAGGUCGGAUUAGCUAGUUGGUGAGGUAAUGGCUCACCAAGGCGACGAUCCGUAACUGGUCUGAGAGGAUGAUCAGUCACACUGGAACUGAGACACGGUCCAGACUCCUACGGGAGGCAGCAGUGGGGAAUAUUGGACAAUGGGCGAAAGCCUGAUCCAGCCAUGCCGCGUGUGUGAAGAAGGUCUUCGGAUUGUAAAGCACUUUAAGUUGGGAGGAAGGGUUGUAGAUUAAUACUCUGCAAUUU